This 396-nucleotide ribosomal RNA is filed under the name uncultured bacterium. RNAcentral's name for it is "bacterial SSU rRNA". It matches the Rfam family "Bacterial small subunit ribosomal RNA", at positions 29 to 418 of the family's 1533-position model. The record is from RNAcentral.
AAUGAACGCUGGCGGCGUGCCUAACACAUGCAAGUCGGAUGUGCCCGCAAGGGUGCAUGGCAGACGGGUGAGUAACACGUAGGUAAUCUACCUCGAGGUGGUGGAUAACCUUCCGAAAGGAGGGCUAAUACAGCAUGAGACCACGUCUUCGCAAGAGGAUGAGGUUAAAGCGGGUCACUACAAGUAAACUCGCGCCACGAGAUGAGCCUGCGGCCCAUCAUGGUAGUUGGUAGGGUAACGGCCUACCAAGCCGAAGACGGGUAGCUGGUCUGAGAGGAUGAUCAGCCACACUGGAACUGAGACACGGUCCAGACUCCUACGGGAGGCAGCAGUGGGGAAUCUUGCGCAAUGGGCGAACGCCUGACGCAGCGACGCCGCGUGAGUGAUGAAGGCCUC